Callorhinus ursinus (northern fur seal) is the source of this 171-nucleotide non-coding RNA. Lineage: Eukaryota; Metazoa; Chordata; Mammalia; Carnivora; Otariidae. The record is from RefSeq and is a predicted model, not a curated record.
AGGCCCUGCCCUACGUGUGUCUGCUCAUCGCCAUGCUGUUGUUCAUCUACGCCAUCAUCGGCAUGCAGGUUUUUGGAAAUAUUGCCCUGGAUGAUGACACCAGCAUCAACCGGCACAACACCUUCAGGACGUUUUUGCAAGCCUUGCUGCUGUUGUUCAGGAGUGCCACUG